This 495-nucleotide ribosomal RNA is filed under the name uncultured bacterium. RNAcentral's name for it is "partial 16S ribosomal RNA". It matches the Rfam family "Bacterial small subunit ribosomal RNA", at positions 28 to 507 of the family's 1533-position model. The record is from RNAcentral.
GACGAACGCUGGCGGCGUGCCUAAUACAUGCAAGUAGAACGCUGAAGGAGUAGCUUGCUUCUCUGGAUGAGUUGCGAACGGGUGAGUAACGCGUAGGUAACCUGCCUGGUAGCGGGGGAUAACUAUUGGAAACGAUAGCUAAUACCGCAUAAUAUUGACUAUUGCAUGAUAGUCAGUUGAAAGGUGCAACUGCACCACUACCAGAUGGACCUGCGUUGUAUUAGCUAGUUGGUGGGGUAACGGCUCACCAAGGCGACGAUACAUAGCCGACCUGAGAGGGGGAUCGGCCACCCUGGGACUGGGACACGGCCCAGACUCCUACGGGAGGCAGCAGUAGGGAAUCUUCGGCAAUGGACGGAAGUCUGACCGAGCAACGCCGCGUGAGUGAAGAAGGUUUUCGGAUCGUAAAGCUCUGUUGUAAGAGAAGAACGAGUGUGAGAGUGGAAAGCUCACACUGUGACGGUAUCUUACCAGAAAGGGACGGCUAACUACGUG